This 556-nucleotide ribosomal RNA is filed under the name uncultured bacterium. RNAcentral's name for it is "partial 16S ribosomal RNA". It matches the Rfam family "Bacterial small subunit ribosomal RNA", at positions 355 to 902 of the family's 1533-position model. The record is from RNAcentral.
UAGGGAAUCUUCCACAAUGGACGAGCAGUCUGAUGGAGCAACGCCGCGUGAGUGAUGAAGGGUUUCGGCUCGUAAAACUCUGUUGUUGGAGAAGAACGGGUGUCAGAGUAACUGUUGACAUCGUGACGGUAUCCAACCAGAAAGCCACGGCUAACUACGUGCCAGCAGCCGCGGUAAUACGUAGGUGGCAAGCGUUGUCCGGAUUUAUUGGGCGUAAAGCGAGCGCAGGCGGUUUUUUAGGUCUGAUGUGAAAGCCUUCGGCUUAACCGGAGAAGUGCAUCGGAAACCGGGAGACUUGAGUGCAGAAGAGGACAGUGGAACUCCAUGUGUAGCGGUGAAAUGCGUAGAUAUAUGGAAGAACACCAGUGGCGAAGGCGGCUGUCUGGUCUGCAACUGACGCUGAGGCUCGAAAGCAUGGGUAGCGAACAGGAUUAGAUACCCUGGUAGUCCAUGCCGUAAACGAUGAGUGCUAAGUGUUGGAGGGUUUCCGCCCUUCAGUGCUGCAGCUAACGCAUUAAGCACUCCGCCUGGGGAGUACGACCGCAAGGUUGAACUC